This 460-nucleotide ribosomal RNA is filed under the name uncultured bacterium. RNAcentral's name for it is "partial 16S ribosomal RNA". It matches the Rfam family "Bacterial small subunit ribosomal RNA", at positions 338 to 795 of the family's 1533-position model. The record is from RNAcentral.
CCUACGGGAGGCAGCAGUGGGGAAUAUUGGGCAAUGGGCGCAAGCCUGACCCAGCAACGCCGCGUGAAGGAAGAAGGCUUUCGGGUUGUAAACUUCUUUUGUGCGGGAGCAAUAAUGGUCACGUGUGGCCAGACGAGAGUACCGUACGAAUAAGCAUCGGCUAACUCCGUGCCAGCAGCCGCGGUAAUACGGGGGAUGCAAGCGUUAUCCGGAUUUAUUGGGUUUAAAGGGUGCGUAGGCUGUGAGGUAAGUCAGCGGUGAAAUGCCCCCGCUCAACGGGGUGAAGUGCCAUUGAUACUGCCUUGCUGGAAUGCGGAUGCCGUGGGAGGAAUGUGUGGUGUAGCGGUGAAAUGCAUAGAUAUCACACAGAACACCGAUUGCGAAGGCAUCUCACGAAUCCGCGAUUGACGCUGAUGCACGAAAGCGUGGGUAUCAAACAGGAUUAGAUACCCGUGUAGUC